Molecule: long non-coding RNA, 1335 nt
Filed under: Ananas comosus (pineapple)
Lineage: Eukaryota; Viridiplantae; Streptophyta; Magnoliopsida; Poales; Bromeliaceae
Description: long non-coding RNA (ACOM_LNC042845)
Source: RNAcentral
AUGAAUUAGUCUAUUUCUCCCCCAAACCCUUCUUCUUCUCUAUCCCUUAUCUCUAUUCCAAUUCUUUUCCCUAACCCUCACCUCUCAAUCCUCAUCCUCAUCUGUCUAUCUCUCUACCUCUAUUUCUCUUCUCUCUAUCUCAAUCUCAAUUUCUAUCUCUAUUUCCUUACCUCUCUAGCCUCGGUUACCGAUUACGUUACCUCGGAUCCGCGACCGGAAGCACCAAGAACCUGAUCCGAGCCAUAAGGGAUAUUACAGAAUCGUCUUCUCCUUGGUCGUAUCCUCUUCUCCCCUCGCUCAAACCCCCUCGCUCUCCUCCUCCUCCUUCGUCGCCGCAACCGAUGAGUUAGGGUUCCGGCGGCUGGAGUUCAGCCGCGAGGAUCUCGCGGGGACCGUCGCCGGAGGAGUAAGCGCCAAACGUCGAGGCGACGACGGUGGUGGGGAAGCAGGAGUCCGGCGACCUGGUUGUGCUCGCGGCGGCGUCGAAGGCGUGGAAGGGGUAGACGGAGAAGAAGGUGAGCUCGAUCGAUCGAUUAUCCCAUAUAUUAAUCUCUUGUUAGAAUCUCUUGGCAUAUAUAUAUGGUAAAAGUUUUCUAUACGAUUUGAUUUUGACCCGUAGAAUUUCUAUUUACCCCGUAGAAUCUUUUGCUUUCCACUACAAGAUUUAUAUAUCAUAGUUUGUCCCGCAGAAUUUCUAUUUACCUACAACACAAUAAUCAUAGCAGAGCAUGCAACACAAUAAGAACUUGUUGAAUUUUUUAAUUAUAUGACAUUAAAUAUCAAGAUUUGAGUUAUUGGUAUUAGUACCAUAAUAAUUUUUAUUUUGUUAUGUAAUUUUCUAGUUCAUUUGAUAUGGGACAAUUUGAGGUACAUAUAUAUACAGGGCGUGGUAAAGAAAAGGUAGAAUUGAGAAAAGAACACCAAUUAAUUAUUAAAACUUGAGGUAAGCAAAAAAUUCAAAAUGAUUUUGACAAUGAAUAAUAAACAUCAACUUAAAGUAAUAAUAGUUGAGAAAUUAACCCUUCUUGUGGGGAAAUUAAAGCACCUUGCACUUGCUUUAGCCAUCAAAUGAUGUUUGCAAGUCUCAAUCCUCUAGAAAGAAGAUAUUCGUCCAAUCAAAUUGGAAAUCUAGAUGUAGGCAAAUUUUUUCACCUGCUUUAUAAUUUUUUUUUGUUUAAAGAAGCCCGUAGGUUGUUUCUUAACCCCGAAAGAUACCCUAAUAAAAGCUAUUUCAGAUUUCAGAUGAGCACUAGCGUGGAUAUAAAUCUUACAUUCUAUUCAUCCAACAGUUUUUUUUUCAGCAGUCUUAUUAAUUAUGUUAUUUAAUACUAUAAU